GUCCCUAUAGUGCAAUGGGAAGCACGUUGGACUUCUAAUUCAAAGGUUGUGGGUUCGAAUCCCAUCCAUUUUUUGAGGAUG
Non-coding RNA from Trichonephila inaurata madagascariensis, 81 nucleotides. The record is from the annotation of a GenBank genome assembly. NCBI's taxonomy places the organism in Eukaryota, Metazoa, Arthropoda, Arachnida, Araneae, Nephilidae.